Molecule: long non-coding RNA, 2078 nt
Filed under: Nicotiana benthamiana
Lineage: Eukaryota; Viridiplantae; Streptophyta; Magnoliopsida; Solanales; Solanaceae
Description: long non-coding RNA (NBEN_LNC021805)
Source: RNAcentral
UUGAAAAAGAAGUGUAAGAACAAAAGGGUCGGUGAGUUUGACACACGCCGCCGUGGGAGACUGGUGUGCCAUCACCGUUGAAAAAGAAGUGUAAGAAGAAAAAGGUCGGUGAGCUUGACACGCGCCGCCGGGAGAGACUGGUGGUGAAAGAAAGUCUCAAUGGCUGAAACUAGCGCGUUGAGUUGAGUUGUCCCACAUCGGAGAUCUGGGCGUGAGGGGGGUGUUGAGUUGUCCCACAUCGGAGGGAUUUGAGGUCCUUGGUCUCCUUAUAUGGCUUGGGCAAUCCUCACCUCAUAAGCNNNNNNNNNNNNNNNNNNNNNNNNNNNNNNNNNNNNNNNNNNNNNNNNNNNNNNNNNNNNNNNNNNNNNNUUUGAGGUCCUUGGUCUCCUUAUAUGGCUUGAGCAAUCCUCACCUCAUAAGCUAGCUUUUGGGGUUGAGUUAGGCCCAAGGUCCAUUCUUAUCAACCACUAAAUCUGUCAACUGAUGUAUAAUAUGAUACACAACAUUUUAAUGUACUCAGGUCCGUGAGUAUCAUGUAACAGUUGAAUUAGUUUUGCGAGGGGUCUGUGAUGGAUAGAUUGAUGUUCUUGAAUCAAUACAAGAUUAAACCGAAAUACUGCUCAAAUGCAUGGAAGAUAUAGAGUUGUUGUGAGGAGCCAUGCAUGAAUGUCAAAAUAAAAUGGUAAUUUGAGCUCUUGGGGAGAUUGUUUGCCCUUUGUAGGAAGGUUCAACUUUAUGAGAAUCUUAGAUAGAUGGUCGGUUAGACAUGAUGCGAGCUCUGAGUUAUUGAAUCAUUUAAAUGAUGAAACUGUAAGUAUACAGAUCCAAAAGAUAAAGUAUGCCAGAUAAAUGAGGUUGCUGAUAUUGUCCUAGAAACUUACCUGCAAGAGUUUGAGACUAUCUUUUUUAUCAAUAUAAUCAUUACUUACCUGUUCAAAGAAAAAUAUCUGAAAGAGUUUGAAUUGUUUUUCCAUGUUCUUAUUUUAUUCUCCUGGAAAAAAUGUUUAUACAAUAAAUGAUUUGCAAGUCAUGUGUACUGUCAUGCUUACAAUAUUUAGAUGCUUACAAAAUUUACAUUUUCGGUGUAAGAGGAGGACCAUUGUACAGGACAUUGGAAACAUCCGGACCUUAUGAGCUUCUUUCACUCAUAACAUGAGACAUCCUGGACUACUUGUACAUUUUCAGCCACUGCAUAUAAAUGCAACAGAAAUGAAUAACACCAUAAACAUUGAACUCUAUUGAUCUAAUAGGAACGUGUUACUAUCUUCACUUUGCUACUAGGAAUUCCAGUUUCUGGAUGAUUUGAUUUAGAUGAAACUGGCAUUCCCUACUCAUUCUUUCUUCUUUAAUUCAAGAGUAGGUAAUGUUAUCAGCGCUUAUGGUGGUGGGAGUUGGAAUGAAGUUGCAUAGCAUUGUCGGAAUAUGACUUCUAAUUUUGUUUUUGUUUGUUUACUAAUUGUAUGGGCGAAAAACCUCACAUCAGAUAUUUGAUCUGGUCAGUGGAGAUAAAGCCUUUGAAGGCCAUGACGUGUCGAUCUGUCCCAAAGGUCGAGGUCACAUAAGGAAGGCGAAUUGUCGUCGAGGACGAGGUGGCUCGACAGAAGACGAGGACAAGGACGAGUACCCGACCUUAGUACGCAGUAACUUAAGGAUUUUGAUUUCCUAAGGGAAUAUUCUAGUGAAUAUUCCUCUCUGUUGUACUAUAUAUGGUUUUAUGGCCCAUGUACCCUUAUAAAUAGGAAGAGAUGAAGUUCUAGAAAAGGGCGAACAUUUCUGUAAAGAACAACAUUGACAUUCUCUGUGAAGAUUCUCUCUUUAUUAAAUACAUAAAAAGUUUACCUUUUUACUCCUUUUCUUCUAUCUUUCUCUUCCGGUCCAAUAAGAAUCGAAAUAUUCAAUUACUUAUCAUCAUCCAUCAUUGUUAGAAAGCUUAGUGGAAAAUCUCACCCUUAUCGGGUGAACCUUAUUCUAUUGAUUAGUUAAAUGCUAUUUAUUGCUAUCUUUCACGUUCUUAAGCCAUUAUUGCUCUAAGACACUCUUAUCUUACAACACACAUCCGAUACUCCCCAUAAAAAUAC